Molecule: long non-coding RNA, 566 nt
Organism: Brassica rapa (field mustard)
Lineage: Eukaryota; Viridiplantae; Streptophyta; Magnoliopsida; Brassicales; Brassicaceae
Source: RefSeq, a predicted model, not a curated record
AGCCACGAAAUUAGACUAAGAGAACUUGUAUUGAUACUGGAUGAUUAUUACAAGUGAUGGAGAAGCCUUUAAAUAGGCAAUACACAAGACUAAACAAUUAUUAAAACAUGAAAACAUAAACAAAUAAUUCUGUAGGGAACCAGAACAUGCCAAAGGAGAUACAGCCAAUGUAUGGCACGUCCAGGAAGAGUAGAAAGGGACAGGAGGAGAGGCACAGCCUCCUUAGUGAAAGUGACAGGCCAGUUGCUUCUCCAAAGCACCACAUGUGACUUUCCUUGCCUCAAUUCAAACCAGAUCUUUUCCCUUGACUCUCCAACGGUCAUAAGCUUGUUUAAACUUCAAAUCUGCUUCAGAAUAUCAAGCUGGACGAGCUCACUACUUUCCUUGCCUUCCAAGUCACUCUAGGUUAAGCUUGGUUACUUGGAAGCCAAGACUGUACGGACUGCCUUGUACAGCAAGGUUGUAUGUACCAGACUCUUUUCAAGUACCUCUUCUUCUGUUGUUUCAUUUGUUGGCUCCUUUCCUUGAUGCACAAGUCUUGAAUACUUGCAACACACUUCAUGACU